This 67-nucleotide microRNA precursor is filed under the name Bombyx mori (domestic silkworm). Its description in RNAcentral is "mir-2774 microRNA precursor family". It matches the Rfam family "mir-2774 microRNA precursor family". Lineage: Eukaryota; Metazoa; Arthropoda; Insecta; Lepidoptera; Bombycidae. The record is from Rfam by way of RNAcentral.
ACAUCGUUUGGACCGUCGGUCUACCGAGCAAUAUCAACCGCUCGGUGGAAGAUUUUUCCUCCGUCAU